CAUGCAAGUCGAGCGGUAACAGACAUUUUGAUUUUGCUUGCAAAAUCUCGUGCUGACGAGCGGCGAACGGGUGAGUAACGCGUAGGAAUCUACCUAGUAGAAGGGGAUAGCCCGAGGAAACUCGGAUUAACACCGUAUACGUCCUUAGGGAGAAAGAGGGCUUAGCUUUGAUGCUCUCGCUAUUAGAUGAGCCUGCGUAAGAUUAGCUUGUUGGUGAGGUAAAGGCUCACCAAGGCGACGAUCUUUAGCUGGUCUGAGAGGACGAUCAGCCACAUUGGGACUGAGACACGGCCCAGACUCCUACGGGAGGCAGCAGUGGGGAAUAUUGGACAAUGGGCGCAAGCCUGAUCCAGCCAUACCGCGUGUGUGAAGAAGGCCUUCGGGUUGUAAAGCACUUUAAGUAAGGAAGAAAAGAGUAUUGCUAAUACCAAUACUCCGUGACAUUACUUACAGAAUAAGGACCGGCUAAUUCCGUGCCAGCAGCCGCGGUAAUACGGAAGGUCCAAGCGUUAAUCGGAAUUACUGGGCGUAAAGCGCGCGUAGGUGGUUUAUUAAGUUGGGUGUGAAAGCCCCGGGCUCAACCUGGGAACUGCAUCCAAA
RNAcentral lists this ribosomal RNA (600 nucleotides) under uncultured Gammaproteobacteria bacterium. RNAcentral describes it as "bacterial SSU rRNA". It matches the Rfam family "Bacterial small subunit ribosomal RNA", at positions 54 to 631 of the family's 1533-position model. The record is from RNAcentral. Lineage: Bacteria; Pseudomonadati; Pseudomonadota; Gammaproteobacteria.